Non-coding RNA from Camellia sinensis, 344 nucleotides. NCBI's taxonomy places the organism in Eukaryota, Viridiplantae, Streptophyta, Magnoliopsida, Ericales, Theaceae. The record is from RefSeq and is a predicted model, not a curated record.
UCUCAGACACUCAAACAUCGACGACAACGGACCGGUAUAGCUUCGUUGCCCUGGUGAAGAUCUGAGACUGAGAGAUUAUUCUUCUCUCUUGAAUCCAUUGUGACUAUGGAGUCAUCUUUCAAAGAGAUUUUGCUUCCUUAGUUUGAUAUCUUUGGGUUGAAGGCUCCUGUGAAGUUUCCAAAGGAAUGAAGACUUUUUGGUGUGUUUUCAAGUGAAUCAAGUCAAGAAAUUAGUGGCUUAGUUUUUGGUUAUUAUGUUUUGUUUAAGGAUGAAUUGUGUAAUGUAUUGUGUAAUGUGUUUUAUUUAAGGAUGCACUAUAUUUUUGGCAAUUAUGUUUUGUUCAA